GGUUAAGCGACUAAGCGUACACGGUGGAUGCCCUGGCAGUCAGAGGCGAUGAAGGACGUGCUAAUCUGCGAAAAGCGUCGGUAAGGUGAUAUGAACCGUUAUAACCGGCGAUGUCCGAAUGGGGAAACCCAGUGCAAUUCGUUGCACUAUCGUUAACUGAAUACAUAGGUUAACGAGGCGAACCGGGGGAACUGAAACAUCUAAGUACCCCGAGGAAAAGAAAUCAACCGAGAUUCCCCCAGUAGCGGCGAGCGAACGGGGAGCAGCCCAGAGUCUGAAUCAGCUUGUGUGUUAGUGGAACGGUCUGGAAAGUCCGACGGUACAGGGUGAUAGUCCCGUACACCAAAAUGCACAGGUUGUGAACUCGAAGAGUAGGGCGGGACACGUGGUAUCCUGUCUGAAUAUGGGGGGACCAUCCUCCAAGGCUAAAUACUCCUGACUGACCGAUAGUGAACCAGUACCGUGAGGGAAAGGCGAAAAGAACCCCGGCGAGGGGAGUGAAAAAGAACCUGAAACCGUGUACGUACAAGCAGUGGGAGCACCUUCGGGUGUGACUGCGUACCUUUUGUAUAAUGGGUCAGCGACUUAUAUUCUGUAGCAAGGUUAACCGUAUAGGGGAGCCGCAGGGAAACCGAGUCUUAACUGGGCGUUAAGUUGCAGGGUAUAGACCCGAAACCCGGUGAUCUAGCCAUGGGCAGGUUGAAGGUUGGGUAACACUAACUGGAGGACCGAACCGACUAAUGUUGAAAAAUUAGCGGAUGACUUGUGGCUGGGGGUGAAAGGCCAAUCAAACCGGGAGAUAGCUGGUUCUCCCCGAAAGCUAUUUAGGUAGCGCCUCGUGAACUCAUCUUCGGGGGUAGAGCACUGUUUCGGCUAGGGGGUCAUCCCGACUUACCAACCCGAUGCAAACUACGAAUACCGAAGAAUGUUAUCACGGGAGACACACGGCGGGUGCUAACGUCCGUCGUGAAGAGGGAAACAACCCAGACCGCCAGCUAAGGUCCCAAAGUCAUGGUUAAGUGGGAAACGAUGUGGGAAGGCACAGACAGCCAGGAUGUUGGCUUAGAAGCAGCCAUCAUUUAAAGAAAGCGUAAUAGCUCACUGGUCGAGUCGGCCUGCGCGGAAGAUGUAACGGGGCUAAACCAUGCACCGAAGCUGCGGCAGCGACACUAUGUGUUGUUGGGUAGGGGAGCGUUCUGUAAGCCUGCGAAGGUGUGCUGUGAGGCAUGCUGGAGGUAUCAGAAGUGCGAAUGCUGACAUAAGUAACGAUAAAGCGGGUGAAAAGCCCGCUCGCCGGAAGACCAAGGGUUCCUGUCCAACGUUAAUCGGGGCAGGGUGAGUCGACCCCUAAGGCGAGGCCGAAAGGCGUAGUCGAUGGGAAACAGGUUAAUAUUCCUGUACUUGGUGUUACUGCGAAGGGGGGACGGAGAAGGCUAUGUUAGCCGGGCGACGGUUGUCCCGGUUUAAGCAUGUAGGCUGGUUAUCCAGGCAAAUCCGGAUAAUCAAGGCUGAGGUGUGAUGACGAGGCACUACGGUGCUGAAGUAACAAAUGCCCUGCUUCCAGGAAAAGCCUCUAAGCAUCAGGUAACAUCAAAUCGUACCCCAAACCGACACAGGUGGUCAGGUAGAGAAUACCAAGGCGCUUGAGAGAACUCGGGUGAAGGAACUAGGCAAAAUGGUGCCGUAACUUCGGGAGAAGGCACGCUGGUGUGUAGGUGAAGUCCCUGCGGAUGGAGCUGAGACCAGUCGAAGAUACCAGCUGGCUGCAACUGUUUAUUAAAAACACAGCACUGUGCAAACACGAAAGUGGACGUAUACGGUGUGACGCCUGCCCGGUGCCGGAAGGUUAAUUGAUGGGGUUAUCCGUAAGGAGAAGCUCUUGAUCGAAGCCCCGGUAAACGGCGGCCGUAACUAUAACGGUCCUAAGGUAGCGAAAUUCCUUGUCGGGUAAGUUCCGACCUGCACGAAUGGCGUAAUGAUGGCCAGGCUGUCUCCACCCGAGACUCAGUGAAAUUGAACUCGCUGUGAAGAUGCAGUGUACCCGCGGCAAGACGGAAAGACCCCGUGAACCUUUACUAUAGCUUGACACUGAACAUUGAGCCUUGAUGUGUAGGAUAGGUGGGAGGCUUUGAAGCGUGGACGCCAGUCUGCGUGGAGCCAACCUUGAAAUACCACCCUUUAAUGUUUGAUGUUCUAACGUUGGCCCCUGACCGGGGUUGCGGACAGUGUCUGGUGGGUAGUUUGACUGGGGCGGUCUCCUCCCAAAGCGUAACGGAGGAGCACGAAGGUUAGCUAAUCCUGGUCGGACAUCAGGAGGUUAGUGCAAUGGCAUAAGCUAGCUUGACUGCGAGCGUGACGGCGCGAGCAGGUGCGAAAGCAGGUCAUAGUGAUCCGGUGGUUCUGAAUGGAAGGGCCAUCGCUCAACGGAUAAAAGGUACUCCGGGGAUAACAGGCUGAUACCGCCCAAGAGUUCAUAUCGACGGCGGUGUUUGGCACCUCGAUGUCGGCUCAUCACAUCCUGGGGCUGAAGUAGGUCCCAAGGGUAUGGCUGUUCGCCAUUUAAAGUGGUACGCGAGCUGGGUUUAGAACGUCGUGAGACAGUUCGGUCCCUAUCUGCCGUGGGCGCUGGAGAAUUGAGGGGGGCUGCUCCUAGUACGAGAGGACCGGAGUGGACGCAUCACUGGUGUUCGGGUUGUCAUGCCAAUGGCACUGCCCGGUAGCUAAAUGCGGAAGAGAUAAGUGCUGAAAGCAUCUAAGCACGAAACUUGCCCCGAGAUGAGUUCUCCCUGAGACUUUAAGUCUCCUGAAGGAACGUUAAAGACGAUGACGUUGAUAGGCCGGGUGUGUAAGCGCAGCGAUGCGUUGAGCUAACCGGUACUAAUGAACCGUGAGGCUUAACCUU
Molecule: ribosomal RNA, 2902 nt
Filed under: Pseudomonas aeruginosa
Lineage: Bacteria; Pseudomonadati; Pseudomonadota; Gammaproteobacteria; Pseudomonadales; Pseudomonadaceae
Also listed under: 16 other names
Description: 23S ribosomal RNA
Rfam family: Bacterial large subunit ribosomal RNA
Source: RNAcentral